Molecule: ribosomal RNA, 429 nt
Filed under: Fusobacteriota bacterium
Lineage: Bacteria; Fusobacteriati; Fusobacteriota
Description: Fusobacteria bacterium partial 16S ribosomal RNA
Rfam family: Bacterial small subunit ribosomal RNA
Source: RNAcentral
UGGGGAAUCUUCCGCAAUGGACGAAAGUCUGACGGAGCAACGCCGCGUGAGUGAAGACGGCCUUCGGGUUGUAAAGCUCUGUGAUCCGGGACGAGAGAGCCUGAGGUGAAUAGCCUAAGGAAGUGACGGUACCGGAAAAGCAAGCCACGGCUAACUACGUGCCAGCAGCCGCGGUAAUACGUAGGUGGCAAGCGUUGUCCGGAAUUAUUGGGCGUAAAGCGCGCGCAGGCGGCUUCCUAAGUCCAUCUUAAAAGUGCGGGGCUUAACCCCGUGAUGGGAUGGAAACUGGGAAGCUGGAGUAUCGGAGAGGAAAGUGGAAUUCCUAGUGUAGCGGUGAAAUGCGUAGAGAUUAGGAAGAACACCGGUGGCGAAGGCGACUUUCUGGACGAAAACUGACGCUGAGGCGCGAAAGCGUGGGGAGCAAACAGG